AGCGAACGCUGGCGGCAGGCUUAACACAUGCAAGUCGAGCGGGCCUUUCGGGGUCAGCGGCGGACGGGUGAGUAACGCGUGGGAACGUGCCCUCUGGUUCGGAAUAACUCAGGGAAACUUGAGCUAAUACCGGAUACGCCCUUUUGGGGAAAGGCUUGCUGCCGGAGGAUCGGCCCGCGUCUGAUUAGCUAGUUGGUGAGGUAACGGCUCACCAAGGCGACGAUCAGUAGCUGGUCUGAGAGGAUGAUCAGCCACACUGGGACUGAGACACGGCCCAGACUCCUACGGGAAGCGGCAGUGGGGAAUAUUGGACAAUGGGCGCAAGCCUGAUCCAGCCAUGCCGCGUGAGUGAUGAAGGCCUUAGGGUUGUAAAGCUCUUUUAUCCGGGACGAUAAUGACGGUACCGGAGGAAUAAGCCCCGGCUAACUUCGUG
This 433-nucleotide ribosomal RNA is filed under the name uncultured bacterium. RNAcentral's name for it is "partial 16S ribosomal RNA". It matches the Rfam family "Bacterial small subunit ribosomal RNA", at positions 29 to 507 of the family's 1533-position model. The record is from RNAcentral.